UUUUGCGAUCUUAACUCUAAGUUAUCCCCUAAAAAAUUUGCACCAAACUUGGAAUUAAUUAAAGUUUAGAACAACGUACAUAGUCCUAUUCAAAAGAUCGAAGAUUGCAAAAGCAAGCCCGACCCUAGAAAUUGAAAGUUGGGAAUCUGACAAGAAGAAGCAGCAAGCGAAUGGUGAUGGAGGCAUGGGAUGGAGUCGGCGGCGUCGCACACGAAAUGGAGGAAGAGUAGUAUCAGGAUGUUUAUGGGCGGCACCAAUUGAUGCUGUCGGGAUGCCGCAAGCGUCGGAGGGGACGAAGUGGCGUUUGGAUGGGGUUGGAGACAUGGGAAGGAGGCGGCGACAAUCUGGCUGCUGGUGGAGAACACAAUGAAGGAGCAGGACUAGAAGAGUAUCGGGGUGGACCAAUUAAAUUAAAAGAUCGAAUACAAAAUAAAAGAGAGUUUUAAAUACCUAUAAUACCCCUCCAGUGGUCGUUGUCCAAUCAGAGGAAGCCAACGCUGAAUGGAUUCCAUUGAAAGCAUACC
Molecule: long non-coding RNA, 524 nt
Filed under: Linum usitatissimum (flax)
Lineage: Eukaryota; Viridiplantae; Streptophyta; Magnoliopsida; Malpighiales; Linaceae
Description: long non-coding RNA (LUSI_LNC006693)
Source: RNAcentral